CAGCAGCCGCGGUAAUACGUAGGGUGCGAGCGUUAAUCGGAAUUACUGGGCGUAAAGCGUGCGCAGGCGGUUGUGUAAGACAGGUGUGAAAUCCCCGGGCUUAACCUGGGAACUGCGCUUGUGACUGCACAGCUAGAGUAUGGCAGAGGGGGGUGGAAUUCCACGUGUAGCAGUGAAAUGCGUAGAGAUGUGGAGGAACACCGAUGGCGAAGGCAGCCCCCUGGGCCAAUACUGACGCUCAUGAACGAAAGCGUGGGGAGCAAACAGGAUUAGAUACCCGAGUAGUCCCUGUCUCUUAUAC
This 301-nucleotide ribosomal RNA is filed under the name uncultured bacterium. RNAcentral's name for it is "partial 16S ribosomal RNA". It matches the Rfam family "Bacterial small subunit ribosomal RNA", at positions 509 to 807 of the family's 1533-position model. The record is from RNAcentral.